GUCUCCCUACGGGACGCAGCAGUCGAGAAUCAUUCACAAUGGGGGAAACCCUGAUGGUGCGACGCCGCGUGGGGGAAUGAAGGUCUUCGGAUUGUAAACCCCUGUCAUGUGGGAGCAAAUUAAAAAGAUAGUACCACAAGAGGAAGAGACGGCUAACUCUGUGCCAGCAGCCGCGGUAAUACAGAGGUCUCAAGCGUUGUUCGGAAUCACUGGGCGUAAAGCGUGCGUAGGCUGUUUCGUAAGUCGGGUGUGAAAGGCGCGGGCUCAAUCCGCGGACGGCACAUGAUACUGCGAGACUAGAGUAG
This 305-nucleotide ribosomal RNA is filed under the name uncultured bacterium. RNAcentral describes it as "bacterial SSU rRNA". It matches the Rfam family "Bacterial small subunit ribosomal RNA", at positions 333 to 649 of the family's 1533-position model. The record is from RNAcentral.